GAGAUGCUUCACUUGUAGGACAUCUGCCUUGCAUGCAGAAGGUCUCAGGUUCAAUCCCUGGCAUCUCCA
This is a non-coding RNA of Podarcis lilfordi (Lilford's wall lizard), 69 nucleotides long. The record is from the annotation of a GenBank genome assembly. NCBI's taxonomy places the organism in Eukaryota, Metazoa, Chordata, Lepidosauria, Squamata, Lacertidae.